Molecule: ribosomal RNA, 244 nt
Filed under: uncultured Serratia sp.
Lineage: Bacteria; Pseudomonadati; Pseudomonadota; Gammaproteobacteria; Enterobacterales; Yersiniaceae
Description: partial 16S ribosomal RNA
Rfam family: Bacterial small subunit ribosomal RNA
Source: RNAcentral
GAGUUUGAUCCUGGCUCUCACUGAACGCUGGCGGCAGGCUUAACACAUGCAAGUCGAGCGGUAGGGGAGCUUGCUCCCUACGAGCGGCGGACGGGUGAGUAAUGUCUGGGAAACUGCCUGAUGGACGGGGAUAACUACUGGAAACGGUAGCUAAUACCGCAUAACGUCGCGGACCAAAGAGGUUCGUCUUGCCAUCAGAUGUGCCCAGAUGGGAUUAUCUAGUAAGUGGGGUAAUGGCUCACCU